CGUGUGUGUGCGUUUUGAAAAAUACCUGCAAUGGCCUUUUAAGAGAUAACCAAGGAUGCUUUAGUUGCUAAGGACCCCUGAUGAAGUCACCAGAAAACGGUAUUACUGACACUCAGCAGCAGCAUUCCACCAGUUGACUAAAUGGGAAAGACAAGCCCACCCUGAAAGAUCUAGAAGCUCUCUCCCAGAACAAAUACCCCCACCAAAUCCCCUCCAGUGAGAAGGACACAUGACACCCCUCUGGUGGAACGGACAUGGUGUGAGAAGUGAGGACAGGAACUGCCUUCGGAUGGAGCUGAGACUGGAAGUUUAAGAUAUUUGCAGACAUUCGACCGCCUGGGCUAAUUGAAGCAGGCUUGGGUUUUGAAGUGUAAUUCAGCUGCAGUAAGAUGAGCAAUGGAAAAAACAGUGUGCUGUGAUAACAGGGGUGAUCUGAUGACAUUUAUUUAUGCAUCUCUCCUGGCUGGUGGCAGGAUCUAGUUCAGAGUCUCCUAGCAACAGUGAUGUGCGCAUGAGAAUAUGUCCAUGUAAAUAGCAGAUGCAAUGAAUAAAGUUUCCAUUCACUCACAGAGAUGACAGCCUGGAUU
Non-coding RNA from Odocoileus virginianus texanus, 587 nucleotides. Lineage: Eukaryota; Metazoa; Chordata; Mammalia; Artiodactyla; Cervidae. The record is from RefSeq and is a predicted model, not a curated record.